AUAUGGAAAAGCCACGACAUAAGCCUCUUGGUCACCCCUUCCGAUCCAACCAUGGAUUCUCCUCCACACAAGAACGAAAAUAGAAUCGCCCUGGAUUUGCCCCCUUCCUCUCCUCCGAUGCUUGCCCCGCGUGCGGCGCCUCCGCUGCAUCAUCAUGAGUACGAGGUGUUCUUCUCCUUGCCAGCGUUGGUCUCCGCCAAGUAAACCAUGGGAUAAUUAAUUCAAUCAGAUGAAGGUGCCGCUUCUUGUGUGAUUUAUUUGUGUGGCGUUCAUGCAUGAUGAUGAUGGUCUUUAGCUUGGACUGAAGUUGGUUGGCGCCUUGCAGCUGCGAAGAUCUGUUUAUACUGAAUUUUCUUAUUUCUGUUCUUUUGUUCCCUUUUUUCUGAUUUAUUCAUGUGGGGUUCAUGCAUGAUGAUGAUGGUCUUGAGCUUGGACUGAACUUGGUUGACGCCUUAGAGCUGAGAAAGAUUCAUUUGUGCUGAUUUUUCUUACUUAUGUUGUUUGUGCAACUGAGUAUGUGGUUACAGAGGUCCACUUUCAGCCAGAGCAUUGAAUUUUUUUACUGGUAGUAGGAGGGCGCCGAGACUAUAGGUUGGUAAAGUUUAGGAUUUGUGCCUUUUUUCAGGUAUAUGUGUCAUUUGUUUAUUAUAUGAUUAGUUGAUAUCGAAGGACUACAGGUUGGUUAAGUUUAUGAUUUGUGCCUUUUUCUGGUAUAUGUGUCAUUAGUUUGUUAUAUGAUUAGUUUAUAUCUGUGGAUGCAUUACUAAAAAGAUUGAAGUUUCCUUCUGGUAUUGUACCUCUCAGUUUGUUUCUAUACUGAGUUAUUUCUUCUACUAGGUAUAUUGGUAUAUUAGGUGACUACGAUGCCGAUGUUAGUCGUUGUGUCAAUUUCACCAUGUUUAAAUCAAGCUGGGAAGCGCACGGUAUGACUGCCAUCGUCAAAAACUAGCUCAGACUCCUCCCAGCCAGUCUCACAUCAAGGGUCGUGCUAAGAAAUACAGGAAUGCUAAGUGAAAGUCCAGCGGAUGGCAACACAAGUCAAAGCUGACGGAAACAUCUCAGCAUUACGUACAGUGCAAGUAAUGACACAUAUGUGAGUUGUCACAUCAUCUUUAUUUUUCGUCAAAGUGGUUUCAUGUUGGAAAAUCAGUAGUAAUCUCCCCACGUACAGAUACAGUUGGAGGGAGCUUCCAUUUAUGUCAGGACUAUUCUCCUGUAAUGUUUUCUAAUGCUCCAUAUCUGUCAGUGUAGGGAGCGUGUAGGGAGCUUCCAGUUUGUGGGUAUUGCCCUUAUUUUUGUCAUCUUGCAUAGUUUUGUAUAGUUUCCCCGUACAUGUAAUUAGUCACGGAUGAGAUUUAUAAUACUGGAAGGAUGAAGUAAUAAAACUUAGAUUUACACUACUGUAAGUACUAUAUCUACUUUGUGUCAUGUUACUGGCUUGCUCCUAAUUCGGUUCUUAGCAGGGGUCCUUGGUGAUCACUUCGUUGUUCUACAAAAGUAAUAAUUUAGAAUUCAUAAUUGGAAGUGCUCAGUUCUCUCUCAUGUUGAUUAUGGAAACUAAUGGUUUACACCAACUGGUAUCCGCUUUGAAAAAAGCCUCCUACUGAUACAGUUGUCAUAGAUGCUUGAUGUCAGCUGCUACUUUAGUAGUCAGUGCAAUAAAAAGCUUCAAACUGAUACAAUCGUUUCAAGGACUUAUAUUUUGAAUAGUGAAUUUUAAAAGCGCACAUGUUCAAGUGGAGGUAAAUCCGAAGCCAUUAUAGUUUACCAGCUAUAUGAAAUUAAACUAGCCCGUAUUGCUAACUGCACUUAUAGGAUAAAUAUAUAUCUUCAAUAUGAAGCAAAAGAAUUGCUUGCAGAUAGGCUGCCACAUUUGUAAGAACAUGAAUGAUGUGAUUCUGUUGUAAGUGUUCAUCAUUACUGAUUAGAACACAGUUUUACUAACAUAUUUGCUUGAUUUUGCAAUCAUUAAAAGUAGAGGAAUCGGACGAAUGUUGAAGUCAGGUUAUGCAUUAAAAGGAAUUAUACAAUGAGAUUACAUGACGUAGCAAGCAGAACAUACAAGGAGAUGUCCAAUAUCUUUUAAACUGCAGAGCUAAAGAAAUAGAAUUGCUUCAUAUAAAUGAAAUUACACAAUUAAGUUCUUCAUGACUGUGUACCUGAUCAACAUUUUCUGUAAGUUAGUUAUCUGCAAGACCUUUUGUCUAACUAAAAAAAGGAUAACUGACUAUAACAUCAAAUUCAGUAAACUAAGUCGCACAUUCAUGUAUUAGGUUUCAGAAGCUCAAUAAUUAACCAGUGCUUAAUACAUUUUUAUCACGGAACAACAUGAGUCCAUUGUACAUCUUGAAUCUUCUUUUCUUUUCAAGGAAAAACCAUCAGAAUGGUGCAGCAGUACUGGAAAGUUCAAGUCUAUAUGCAACAUGACUGACAUAUUUAAGUUUUUAGUAUUACAGUGCAGUAUCGUGUGUUCUAGAGCCUGCAUGGUGUAGGUUUAUUUUUUGUUUCUUCCAGUCAUCCUGCAUUAUUGCUCGGGGAGAAGUGAGCUGAUUCAAGUGUAUGAGCUGCACAAAUCUCCAAACCAUGUACGUCUCUAAAAAGUACAGCAAUUAGAUCUCCCUGUAGCAAUAAAUUUUAUUGUAAUCCUCACAUGAUUUUAUUAUUUUAUUUACAGAUAAAAUCAAUUCCUU
This is a long non-coding RNA of Triticum aestivum (bread wheat), 2690 nucleotides long. RefSeq lists it as uncharacterized. Lineage: Eukaryota; Viridiplantae; Streptophyta; Magnoliopsida; Poales; Poaceae. The transcript has 3 exons. The record is from RefSeq and is a predicted model, not a curated record.